GACGAACGCUGGCGGCGUGCCUAAUACAUGCAAGUCGAACGAAGCUGUUUUAACUGGUGCUUGCACCGACUUAAACAACUGAGUGGCGAACGGGUGAGUAACACGUGGGUAACCUGCUCUAAAGCGGGGAUAACAUUUAGAAACAGAUGCUAAUACCGCAUAACCACAGAAACCACAUGGUUUCUGUGUCAAAGCUGGUUUCGGCUAUCACUUUGGGAUGGACCAGCGGCGUAUUAGCUAGUUGGUAAGGUAAUGGCUUACCAAGGCAAUGAUACGUAGCGGAACUGAGAGGUUGAUCGGCCACAUUGGGACUGAGACACGGCCCAAACUCCUACGGGAGGCAGCAGUAGGGAAUCUUCCACAAUGGACGAAAGUCUGAUGGAGCAACGCCGCGUGAGUGAAGAAGGUUUUCUGAUCGUAAAACUCUGUUGUCAGAGAAGAACGUGUGCGAGAGUAACUGUUCGUGCAGUGACGGUAUCUGGCAAGAAAGCCACGGCUAACUACGUGCCAGCCGCCGCGGUAA
RNAcentral lists this ribosomal RNA (523 nucleotides) under uncultured bacterium. RNAcentral's name for it is "partial 16S ribosomal RNA". It matches the Rfam family "Bacterial small subunit ribosomal RNA", at positions 28 to 523 of the family's 1533-position model. The record is from RNAcentral.